AGUGCUAGGACUACCUAAAUGCACUUUUCAUUUGACCUGCAACUUUACAUUUAAGAUUAGCAUGUUCCCUGCAUAAGGAUGACAUGCAAAUUCCUGAAGCAUUCUGUAUUUUU
Otolemur garnettii (small-eared galago) is the source of this 113-nucleotide small nuclear RNA. The record is from Ensembl. NCBI's taxonomy places the organism in Eukaryota, Metazoa, Chordata, Mammalia, Primates, Galagidae.